RNAcentral lists this unclassified non-coding RNA (229 nucleotides) under uncultured Sphingomonadaceae bacterium. Its description in RNAcentral is "contains 16S-23S intergenic spacer region". It matches the Rfam family "Bacterial small subunit ribosomal RNA", at positions 972 to 1200 of the family's 1533-position model. Lineage: Bacteria; Pseudomonadati; Pseudomonadota; Alphaproteobacteria; Sphingomonadales; Sphingomonadaceae. The record is from RNAcentral.
UACCAGCGUUUGACAUGUCUAGUAUGGUUUCCAGAGAUGGAUUCCUUCAGUUAGGCUGGCUAGAACACAGGUGCUGCAUGGCUGUCGUCAGCUCGUGUCGUGAGAUGUUGGGUUAAGUCCCGCAACGAGCGCAACCCUCGUCUUUAGUUGCCAUCAUUUAGUUGGGCACUCUAAAGAAACCGCCGGUGAUAAGCCGGAGGAAGGUGGGGAUGACGUCGACGUCAUAACC